Phyllostomus discolor (pale spear-nosed bat) is the source of this 277-nucleotide long non-coding RNA. RefSeq lists it as uncharacterized. NCBI's taxonomy places the organism in Eukaryota, Metazoa, Chordata, Mammalia, Chiroptera, Phyllostomidae. The transcript is spliced from 2 exons. The record is from RefSeq and is a predicted model, not a curated record.
CUGGAAAGUGGAAGGUUAACAACAGAAACUGGAAAAUUAAAAGAAAGGCUCCAAGGCACUGGUUGAAUUUGAAGAAAAAAAUGAGUGAGAACUGGAGGAAAGACUUACAAAAACACAGGGAGAAAUUAUUAGGUGGGAGUGGGAGCUCAUCCAAAAAGAAAAAAAAAAGAAAAAAGAAAAAGGCAAGAAAUCUGGUAGGUAUUUAUCUUUUCCUCCAAGUUCUAUUCUUCCAGCAGUUCUCCAGAUUCUGUAGAUGUGGAUAAGAAACAAGGAAAAA